GGUGGCUGCUCAAUGGUAGAGUGCUUGUCUAGCAUGUGUGAGGCACUGGGUUCAAUCCUCAGCACCA
This 67-nucleotide transfer RNA is filed under the name Marmota monax (woodchuck). RNAcentral's name for it is "tRNA.Ala". The record is from RNAcentral. Lineage: Eukaryota; Metazoa; Chordata; Mammalia; Rodentia; Sciuridae.